UAAACUUUGACAAAUGUAUUAAGAGCUCGCAAAAUUUCAGUACAAAAUCAUAUUUGUGAAAGUCGUGACAAAAAUAAAAUAAAAUUAGUGCUUCAAAAUGCUUACGAAAGUAUAAUUUUCAGAGUUUUGAUUUUUUUUAUCAUGAAUUCCUUUUUUAGGGACGAAAUUAGAAGAAAUUAGCAUUUUCAGAGUUUUGAUCAUUUUAGAAGAAAUUAGAACGAGUACAAAAAGUGAUACAACACAUGACACGGACGCCAAGGCGUGAACAUGGUGCACGGAGCAGAAAGGCAUAUGAUGCUCGACCCAAAAAGGAAAAAAACACAGCUAAGCUCGCUAUACUGGGAAGUAGCGUGGACCACGACGACCAACAUCUCCACAUUCAGAACCGAGGACGCCUCAAGCAACCAAGGCAACACCUUCACGAAGGAGAAUGACGCCGAGACGCAAUCGCCGUUCGAUCCAGAUAACUGGACCUAGGGUUUUCCCUGAUGCUCGAAGAGGGGCACAAAACAUCGGUCGUGAAAGCGCCUCCAAGAAGGGGACGACACCCUCGGGUGUCACUGCUGCCAGCAAAAGAUGAAGGGAUUUCGCCCUAGCCAGAGUCCGAGCAAUCCCAAACCAUCAGAGCAGGAAUCAACGAAGAAGAAGUCGGGCUAAGGCGUGAACCACAACCACAAGAGUGGGAGCAAUGCGGGCGCGCGAGCAAAGAAGCGUAGGAGGGACCGACGAGGCACGGAGGCAGCCGAUGGGUGACUAGGCGGAAUGAGAAGCGGUGGCGGAUGACGAUGGCCGGUGGCCCGAGCGAACCACGAUCCUGAGGGUAGCGCAGAUCCAGGUCAUCGGGACCGAAGCAACAAGGACGCCGACGAGACCAGGGAGCCGAAAUGGGGUGCAGCUCCCGGAGAAUGCUAGAGUUGAAGACGCAUCGGGAUGGGCGGCCAAUCAAAGUGCCGACAGGGUGGGGGUCCAGAGACGCCGACGAGCCGACGAGCCAAGGGAGCCGGAAGGAACGCAACUUCUGGGGCGCGUCGGGCCCAGAGCCGACCCGACCAACCAUGGACGCUGGAGGAACCGCAGGUCGCCCCUACCGGGGUGGUGGUGGUGGUGGGCACGCGUAAAGCCGAAUCCUGGCCGCGCCUCCGAGGCCGCUGCCCGAGGGGGGCCUGUCCGAAGCUCGUGAGGGAGGGGUGUGGGGAGAGGAUCCGCAGCACGGACAGGGCGCCCGUCCGCCGGAGGAGACACAGAGAGCUGGGGACGUCGCUGUCGGUCGAAGGCGAAGCUCCAGAUCCCGUCGGGGGAGGGCGGACGCAAUUGCUUGAGGACACGAGGAGGAGGCCUGCAGGAGGUGCCAGACCAGCCAUCAGCCACGGGAGGGGGGUGGGGCUGCACGCAGACGCCAUGGGAGGGGCUCCGGGGUGCUCGCGUGGUGUGCGAGAUCCACCAUGAGGGGGGUGGGUGGGUGGUGUGUUCCGGGGAGGCGCAACACAUCAGAUACGUCUGGUUUCAUGACCAAAGUUUGCGAGCUCAUAGAACAUAUGUCAAAGUUUGGUGUAAAAAAAUAGUUUCUGUAAACAUUUUUAAAAUAUUGUAUGAUUUUACUCUUUUCAUUUGAGUUGGGAUGCAAAAACAUCACGUCCCUUUUUAAGUCAAUUUAUUUGCCCGGUAUUUGUGGACGGAGGAAGUAAUAUACAUCCCAAAAACCCAAGCACGAAAAAAAUAAAUGACUUGAGACCGGUCCAUUACUUUAGGUGUCUCGCAUGCUGCCAGUGCAGUCAUGUUCAGCGUAGAUAUCAACAGUGAUUGGUAAUUUGUGAACAAUACCAAAUCAAUAUCAAUAUAGAUAUAUUUUAUAAUGUAUUUAUUAAAUAUUGUACUCCCUCCGCCUCAAUUUUUUUUAUCUUAGGUUUGUUCAGAAAUGGAUGUAUCUAAAUACUAAAAUGUGACUAUAUACAUUCAUAUCUAGACAAAUCUAAGACAAGAAUUUUAGGACGGAGGAAGUAGUUGUUACCAGUUUUAUUUACAUAUUUGAUCAAACUUAGAAAGAAUUAACUUUUUGAGGGAAAGUGUCCUUCUACACUUGAGCUCAAUUGAGCUUAGAUGAACAGUAAAUUCAUUUUUUUUCAAAAUGUUGAGAAAAAGCUUGAUUUUUUAGGGUAAACUUUGACAAAUGUACUAAGAGCUCGCAAAAUUUCAGUAUAAAAUCAUAUUUAUGGAAGUCACAACAAAAAUAAAAUAAAAUUAGUGUUUCAAAAUGCUUUGAAAAGUAGCAUUUUCAGAGUUUUGAUUCUUUAUCAUGAAUUCUUUUUUUUGCGAAUACACAUCAAUCAUUUUAGAAGAAAUUAGAAUGAGUACAAAAAGUGAUACAACACAUGACAUGGACGCCAAUGCAUGAACAUAGUGCACAGAGCAGAAAGACAUAGGAUGCUCGACCCGAAAAGGAAAAAAUCACAGCUAAGCCCGCUAUACUAGGAAGUAGCCUGGACCACGACGACCAACAUCUCCAGAUAACCGAGGACACCUCGAGCAAUCAAGACAACGCCUUCACGAAGGAUAACGAUGUCGAGACGUCGUUGCCGUCCGAUCGGGAUAACUAGACCUAGGGUUUCCCCUGAUGCUCGAAGAGGGGCACAAAAC
Molecule: long non-coding RNA, 2634 nt
Filed under: Hordeum vulgare
Lineage: Eukaryota; Viridiplantae; Streptophyta; Magnoliopsida; Poales; Poaceae
Description: long non-coding RNA (HVUL_LNC011702)
Rfam family: MIR1120/MIR1122 microRNA precursor family (bases 1868-2004)
Source: RNAcentral